UUAUUGUUAUUGUUAUUGUUAUUGUUAUUGUUAUUUUGUUGUCGUUAUUGUUAUUAUUGUUAUUAUUGUUAUUGUUAUUAUCAUUAUUAUUGUUGUCAUUAUUACUAUUGUUAUUGUCAUUGUUAUUGGUAUUAUUGUUAUUAUUUGUAUUAUUAUUAUUAUUAUUAUUACUAUUGUUUUUGUUAUUGUCAUUGUUAUAGUUAUUGUUGUUAUUGUUAUUGGUAUUAUUGUUAUUGUUAUUAUAAUCAUUACUAUUGUUAUAAUUAUUAUUGUUAUUAUUGUUAUUGUUAUUAUUAUCAUCAUUAUUAUUAUCAUUAUUAUUGUUAUUACUAUAAUUGUUACUGUUAUUAUAAUUAUUAUUUUUCUUAUUUUUAUUGUUAUUGUUAUUGUUAUUUUUGUUGUUAUUUUUAUUGUUAUUUUCAUUGUUAUUUUUAUUGUUAUUUUCAUUGUUAUUUUCAUUGUUAUUUUCAUUGUUAUCAUCAAUUUCCCCUGUUCUUGUCCCCAGAGGUCUGCAAUAAAAGGCUCCGUAAGUGCCUGGAUUUUUCCUUCCCGGGCUGGAAUAAUCCGUAGCAAUGACAAAUCAACAAUUCCACCCCGCUCUGAACUGGGAAAUUCCCGUCUCCCCUUCUCUCCUCCCAGAGGAGCACCAGGCCGAGCUGGAGGCCCGGGACACUCGGAUCCGUGAAAAUGAAGCUGAGAUCAAGCACCUGAAGCAGCUGCUGGGUGAGUGCUAAUUAAUUUAGGUGCAGAGAAAUUUUAAUUAAAGGGGAAUUUGGGGGAAAAUAUCAGCAAAAUUCGGGAAAAAUGGAAAUGGGAAAAAUUGUAAAUAAUAGGGCAGUAAUGGGAAAUAAUUAAUAAUGUGGUGAUAAUAAUUAAUAACGUGGUGAUAAUGUGGCAAUAAUAAUUAAAAAUGUGGUGAUAACGUGGCAAUAAUUUCCAUUUCUGUGCAGAGGAGAAGGAAUUGGCAGCACGUAAGUUUUGGAAAAGGGGAAUUUUCUCCCCAAAAUGUGUCUGAUUUAAUUGGUAAUUAACCUUUUUAGGGUCCCAGACCCCAUUUUUGGGCCCCAAAAUCAUUUUUGAGGCACAGUUCCCCAUUUAUAAACACAAAAUUUAUCCAGAUUUGGAGUUUUCCCCCCUCACAAAUAUCCUGACUUAAAAAUUAAAGCUAGAUAAUUAAUAAAUAAAAUAAUAUUUUUUGAUUUUUAAACUGA
This 1211-nucleotide long non-coding RNA is filed under the name Cyanistes caeruleus (blue tit). Its description in RNAcentral is "lncRNA (ENSCCEG00000023044.1)". Lineage: Eukaryota; Metazoa; Chordata; Aves; Passeriformes; Paridae. The record is from RNAcentral.